RNAcentral lists this long non-coding RNA (4864 nucleotides) under Marmota monax (woodchuck). Lineage: Eukaryota; Metazoa; Chordata; Mammalia; Rodentia; Sciuridae. The record is from RNAcentral.
GAUAAAGAAAAUACAGUGUACAUACACAAAGGAGUAUUAUUCAGCCAUAAAGAAUGAAAUAUCCCUAGAUUUCCAAGAUGGUGGAAUAGAGGAGUCACUUUCCUGACUGCUCCAUGGCACAAAACCAAGAAAGCAGAUAGUCAGCUUCUCAGUAAGGUGGGUGAAAAAGAAGGGGGGACUUUAUUGGGAAUUAAUGCUGGACAUUCAAAGCAGAUUGGGGAAUUCAGGAGGCUGGAUAUAAUAAGGAAGAAAUCCCCCAUGCCACCUCCAGCACUAGCUGGAGCCAUCCUGCCACAAGCAAAGUGGAGGGAUAAGGGAAUUAAAGGAAUGUGCAUUUUCAGGAGGCUUGUGGUGUGUCUGGGCUCAGAGAGAUCAGAGAUCAAAGACACUGUGGACUAACCUGAAAGGUGGGGUGCACAAUAUCCUUGGAAGGGAAAGAAGCUGCCUCUCUCUUGGCUGCCCAAGGAGGACAGAGGAAGGAGCCAUUCUGCAGCUGCACUGUGGAGUCCAGCAGCAGUGGGAGUGGAUUCCUGGAAAACACAAGCUGGGCCCUAAAUACAGGCCUGUUAAACUCACACCACAUGACACAGAGUGAGCCUAAGUGACCAGGAGAAAAUCAGACACAGAGAGGAGUUCACACAGGGGAAUACAGUUGUGGAAACCCACCCAGCUAUCCCUCCCCUUGACUCCAGCAGCUUGGAGGACCAGCAGGGAGGGCCGUGUCCAGCCAGGAACUCAAAAGGCUGGGGGUGGGGAAGUGACCAAGUUUGGAGGCUGAACCCUAGGGACCUGGAAACAGAGGGUCCACAGGUGAUGGGAGGGGACAAAUGGUUGCCUCCUCUGCUGCAGGAGUGGAACCUAGGGGCGAUUCCUGUGGUACAGUCUCCCCGUGUGGACAACCAAUGCUGGACCCUGGAGGUAUGCCGAGUUAGAAUCUAAAGACCAAUCUAAAGAUUCAGUGAAGAACCUGUAGCCUACCGAGGCCUCGACCCCACCUAUAGGAGUGCUGCCUAUGGGAUUUCCUCUCAUACUCCAGUGACCCCACCCUCAGGGUGCAGCAGACAUCACAGCCCAUCCCACCCCACCUAACCCUGCUGAGGAGGGAAGCUGAGAAGUUUUUGAAUUCCAGUGGAAACAAUUCUUUAACUUUCCAUUGAGAAAUCCUUUUCUUCUUCUUUUCUGUUUAAUUGUGAACUGAAUGGUUCAUGACACAUACAUAUUUGUCUCUUUUCUCAUUUCUAGCAUUAUUUGAAGGCAGUUAUUUUUUAUGGCUCAGUCUUUUGAGGGCAAGAAUUUUUUUAUGUAAUUUUUAAAAAAUUUAUAUAUGACAGCAGAAUGCAUUGCAAUUCUUAUUACAUAUAUAGAGCACAAUUUUUCAUAUCUCUGGUUGUAUAUACAGUAUAUUCACACCAAUUCGUGUUUUCAUACAUGUACUUUGGAUAGUAAUGAUCAUCACAUUCCACCAUCAUUAAUUACCCCAUGCCCCCUCCCUUCCUCUAAAACCCCUCUGCCUUAUCUAGAGUUCAUCUAUUUCUCCCAUGCUCCCACUCCCUAUCCCACUGUGAAUCAGCCUCCUUAGAGGGUGAGGAUGUUUGAUUAGUAAAUUUCAGUUUUGUAUUCUUUUAUUAUAUAUAUAUAUUAUAUAUAUAUACAUAAUAUUUAUAUAUUCUAACUGAUCUGUUUCCCUUGAUUCUCUUUCCUUUUUCUAUUAACAGCAAAAUUCUUUUUUUCUCUCUUUCAUGCUUCUAAUUUUUACUUCUAUUUUCUCUCCUUCUCCUUCAUAAUCAUCACAUCCUACAUCUCAUCUGUUUCCUCUCUGUGAGGUAAAGGAUAAUGUAAAGAGUGAAAUCAGAAAGAAAAUACAGAAAGGGAAAGAUCAGUUGAAUAAAGAUAUAGAGAUUCUUGGUGUGGGGGGGAAACAACACAAAACAGAAAUCCUUGAAAUGAAGAAAUCAAUAAAUCAAAUUAAAAAUUCAAUGGAAAGCGUCAAUAGCAGACUUCUAGACUAGAACACUUGGAAGACAGAGUUUCAGGCAAUAGAGGAAAAACAUAUAAUUUUGAAAAUAAAGUUGACCAUGGAGAAAAGAUGUUAAGAGACAAUGAGCAGAACUUCCAAGAAACAUGGGAUAACAGGAAAAGACUAAAUAUACUGUAUCAGGAUAGAUGAUGGCUUGGAGAUACAAACCAAAGUAAUGUACAAAUUUUUCAAUAACAUAAUAUCAGAAAAUUUCCCAAAUAUUAAGAAUGAAAUGGAAAAUUAAAUACAGGAGGCUUACAGGUCCCUAAAUAUACAAAAUUACAACAGACCCAUGCCAAGGCACAUUAUUAUAAAUAUGCCUAACAUAUAGAAUAAGGACAGAAUUUUACAGGCUGCUAGAGGAAUAUCACAGGUCACAUUUAGAAGUAAUCCAAUCCAGAUCUCAGCUGAUUUCUCAGCCCAGACCCUAAAAGUAGGAGUUUGUGGAAUAAUAUAUACUCAGCUCUGAAAUAAAAUAGAUACAAGCUAAGAAUAAUAUACCCAGCAAAAUUAAGCUUCAGAAUUGACAAAGAAAUAAAAACCUUCCAUGAUAAACAAAAGUUAAAAGAAUUCACAAGUAGAAAACCUGAACUACAAAAUAUACUCAAUAAGAUAUUUCAUGAAGAAGAAAUAAAAAAUAAAAGUUAACACCAGCAAAGGGGGAAGCAAUAUCAGAAGAAUAGUCAAUCAAAGGAGAAACUAAUUAAAAUUAAAAGUCAUAAAUAAAUCAAAAUGACAGGGAAUAAAAAUCAUAUCUCAACAAUAACAUUGAACCUAAAUGGCCUAAAUUUAUCAAUCAAAAGGCAUAGACUGCCAGAUUGGAUUAAAAAUAAGACCCAACAAUAUGCUGUCUCCAGGAGACUCACCUCAUAGGCAAAAGCAUCCACAGACUGAAGGUAAAGUAUGGGGGGAAAAAUAUAAUUUACAUGGAUCUUGUAAACAAGCAGGGGUUUCUAUCAUAUCAGAUGAAGUGGACUCCAAGCCAAAGUUAAUCAGAAAGAACAAAGAUGGAGACAAAGGUACCAAAAAACACAUGUUGGAUAAAAGAUAUCCUUUUUAAGAACUAGUGCUGGGAAAAGAACUAAACAGACAUUUCCCAAAGUAAUAGGUAGAAAUGACCAAUAAAUGUAUGAAAAAAUGUUUAACAUCUCUAGUAAUAGGGAAAUGCAAGUCAAAACCACAUUGAGACUUCCUCUCACUUCCAUUAGAAAGGCAAUUAUCAAGAAUUCAAAUAAUAAGUGUUGGUGAGGUUAUAAGAAAAAAGGUACACUCAAAUUGUUGGCAGUACUGCAAAUUAAUGUAACCAUUCUAGAAAGUAGUAUAAUGAUUUCUCAAACCAACAACAACAACAACAAAAAAAAACUAGGACUGAAACCACCAUAUGACCCAGCUAUCCCAUUUCUUGGUAUAUAUCCAAAAGAUCUAAAAUCAGCAAACUAUAGGGAUGCAGCAACAUUGAUGUUUAUAGCAGUAUAAUUCACAAUAGCCAUGAACCUGACUUAGGUGCCCUUCAACAGAUGGAUGGUUAAAGAAAAUGUGGUAUAUGUACACAACGGAGUAUAAGUCAUAAAGAAUAAAGACAUUAUGGCAUUUGCUGGUACAUGGACGGAACUGGAGACUAUCAUGCUAACCGAAAUAAGCCAGACCCAGAAAGUCAAAGGUUGAAUAUUUUCUCUGGUAUAUGGAAGCCAGUCCAAAAUAAAGAGAAAAAAAAGAAAAAAGAGGGGACAGAAUUCCACCAAAAAUAUAAGAUCAGUCAGUGGAGUACAGGAAGAGGAUUGAAGGGGAGGGUGGGGAGAGGGACAGGAAAGGUAAGGGAAAAAUGAAUGAUAAAAGUUUAAGGUGACCAAUAUGCUAAUUACCCAAGUUGAUCAUUACCUCAUAUACAUAUGAAUCUAAAUAUCACAUUGUGUCUCAACUAUGAACAAUUUGAGUCAAUAAACAAAAUAAAAACAGAAUAUUUUAAAAAUUUGAUAUAUAUGUAAUCAAUGGAAUAUUACUCAGCCUUUAAAAAGUAAUGAAAUUUUCAUCAUAAAACAAUAUGAAUGAAACUUUAAGACACUGUGUUAAGUGAAACAAUCCAGACACAAAUGAAUAAAUACUGUAUGAUUCCAUUCAUAUGAGGUGCCCAGAAUAAUCAAAUCCAUUAAGACAAAGAAGAGUGCUUGGGGGAGGCAGAAGAGGAUGUUACUGUUUCACAGAUAGGGAGUUCGAGCUAAGGGUGAUGAAAAGCUCUGGAGAUGGAUGGUGUGGGUUGUUCAACAAGGUGAAUGUGCUUAAUGCUACUAUCUGUGGUUAAAAUGGGAAAUUUUAUGUUAUGUAUGUUUUACCACAAUCAAAAAAGCAGUGGGAUUAUGGCUAUCAUAUCCAUGUCUAUAAUUUUUAAUCUCUUUUAUGACUGGCAAGUAUUUCAAUUAUAAUUUGAAAAGUUAAAAAAUGUUUUUGUCAUAUUCCUUGAACAAUGCAGCUCUGAGAAGGAUAGGCACAAAAUGUUUUUUUAAAAAAUAUUAUUCUAAGAAUUUAUCCUCUAAGACAACACACAUAAAUAAAAAAAAUAGACAAAUGGGAAAAAGUUUUUAGAAGCAACUUAGUAUAACAUUUGCAAACUGAGUCAUAUUCACAUACAACACUGCAUGUGAAUAGCACAUUUGAGAACUCCAAUUGUUUUGAAGGAUCUGGAGAAACUGUAUUGCACUGGAAUAUCCCAGAAAAAUUAUACAAAGUAUGUUAAUGUGGGUAAGCCCUAUUUCUGUAACAUGUUUUCAAUAAUAAAAAGAUGACUCUGGAACAGACAGUCUGGAGAUUUGGAGACCUAAGCCUCAGUCAGGAUUGGAUACAUUAGUUAGC